This 501-nucleotide ribosomal RNA is filed under the name uncultured bacterium. RNAcentral describes it as "partial 16S ribosomal RNA". It matches the Rfam family "Bacterial small subunit ribosomal RNA", at positions 29 to 523 of the family's 1533-position model. The record is from RNAcentral.
AUUGAACGCUGGCGGCAUGCCUUACACAUGCAAGUCGAACGGCAGCACGGGUGCUUGCACCUGGUGGCGAGUGGCGAACGGGUGAGUAAUACAUCGGAACGUACCUUAUCGUGGGGGAUAACGGAGCGAAAGCUGUGCUAAUACCGCAUACGCCCUGAGGGGGAAAGCGGGGGAUCGCAAGAACUCGCGCGACUAGAGCGGCCGAUGCCUGAUUAGCUUAUUGGUGGGGUAAAAGCCCACCAAGGCGACGAUCAGUAGCUGGUCUGAGAGGACGAUCAGCCACACUGGGACUGAGACACGGCCCAGACUCCUACGGGAGGCAGCAGUGGGGAAUUUUGGACAAUGGGGGCAACCCUGAUCCAGCAAUGCCGCGUGAGUGAAGAAGGCCUUCGGGUUGUAAAGCUCUUUUGUCAGGGAAGAAACACCGGCUCUAACACAGUCCGGGAAUGACGGUACCUGAAGAAUAAGCAUCGGCUAACUACGUGCCAGCCGCCGCAGUAA